GGCGGACGGGUGAGUAAUGCUUGGGAAUAUGCCUUUUGGUGGGGGACAACAGUUGGAAACGACUGCUAACACCGCAUGAUGUCUACGGACCAAAGUGGGGGACCUUCGGGCCUCACGCCAAGAGAUUAGCCCAAGUGGGAUUAGCUAGUUGGUAAGGUAAUGGCUUACCAAGGCGACGAUCCCUAGCUGGUUUGAGAGGAUGAUCAGCCACACUGGGACUGAGACACGGCCCAGACUCCUACGGGAGGCAGCAGUGGGGAAUAUUGCACAAUGGGCGCAAGCCUGAUGCAGCCAUGCCGCGUGUGUGAAGAAGGCCUUCGGGUUGUAAAGCACUUUCAGUAAGGAGGAAAGGUUAAGUUUUAAUGGAGCUUAGCUGUGACGUUACUUACAGAAGAAGCACCGGCUAACUCCGUGCCAGCAGCCGCGGUAAUACGGAGGGUGCGAGCGUUAAUCGGAAUUACUGGGCGUAAAGCGUAC
This 477-nucleotide ribosomal RNA is filed under the name uncultured Pseudoalteromonas sp. RNAcentral's name for it is "bacterial SSU rRNA". It matches the Rfam family "Bacterial small subunit ribosomal RNA", at positions 97 to 570 of the family's 1533-position model. The record is from RNAcentral. Lineage: Bacteria; Pseudomonadati; Pseudomonadota; Gammaproteobacteria; Alteromonadales; Pseudoalteromonadaceae.